Long non-coding RNA from Malaclemys terrapin pileata, 907 nucleotides. RefSeq lists it as uncharacterized. The record is from RefSeq and is a predicted model, not a curated record. The transcript has 3 exons. NCBI's taxonomy places the organism in Eukaryota, Metazoa, Chordata, Testudines, Emydidae.
AGCAACAAAGAUAGAAAAAGGGAAAACUAGUAACCAUAAACAGAUAACAAACAGUGGCAGUUGCCCCUAUGGGUAUUAAACCUGGGCCCCAAAUAUCCCUCCCGUGGUAACACAGCAAAAUAAAGGAAACCAAAAUAUCCCAAUACUCUACUCUGUCAGAGGCUUCUGGGCAGAUGAUGUUAAAAUGCUGUUUCUUUCAUAGCUGGUGUUUGGAGGGCCCUGGACCUCAAAUCCCCUGACGACCGAUUUCAGAACGAGGCGAGAGGAACACAGGAUUGGACUGGAUCCAGAACCAGGUUGAUGUAAAUAUCUCAUGAUUGGACAGCAGACACCUGGUCUCAACCCAGGUUAUUGCAGCGGCCGUUAGGUUCCGGACCUUCUACUGCUGAAGAUGGUGUCUAGCAGGAGGAACACAGAAUCUGAUGGAGCAGGUGGAACAGCUCAGGACACUCCUCGAUGAUCUGCAGUUUGCAGUCCAGCUCGUUCAAUUUGGACAUUAUGUCAGUAAGGAACCCAAAGUCUAGCAGCCAUGCAUUGACUGACACCUCAUUGCACAAUUUGUUCCUUGAUUUUAGAAAAGUGAUGAUUUGGGGCAUUAGAUCCUAAAAUCUUUGCAGGACUUUCCCCCUGCUUAACCACCUCACAUCUGCAUGGAGGAACAGCUCACCAUAAGCAGAAUCCACAUAGUCAAGUAAGGAUUUAAACAAGCAGUGCUGGAGGGCUCCUGCUUGAAUUGAUUCUGACAACGAUUUUCAUUACAUGUGAGAAGUCCAUAACUUUACUCACUAGUGCUUGCUGGUGGAUUAUAAAUGGUAAUUCACAAAUGAAGAAAAAUCUGGAUCAUUUUUGCAAAAUGCAAUAAAGUCUGCAUGUGCACCAAGCAUGGCGGGUGCACCAUUCGUUGUGA